This 106-nucleotide ribosomal RNA is filed under the name Pteropus alecto (black flying fox). The record is from RNAcentral. Lineage: Eukaryota; Metazoa; Chordata; Mammalia; Chiroptera; Pteropodidae.
UAUAACUGACAUACCAUACAAUUCAUCCAGUUAAAGUGUACAGUUCAGUUGGGCCUGGUUAGUACUUGGAUGGGAGACCACCUAGGAAUACCAGGUGCUGUAGGCA